CAAGCUAGAGCACAAGCCAGAUGCAGUUCAUCUAAGCGAGCCAGUGCUUUCUGGGACAGGGCCGAUGAGAGAAGAGCUGAGUGGAGUGUGGGACCUGCCAGCCCCCAGAGGCUGGAAGGAGAGCCGUGUUAUUCUAAGAGGACCGGGUGCCAGCCGUGGUCAGGCACCUGGAAGAGGCAGAGCCACUUAGCAGGAUCUUCAUUCCUGCUCGGCCCCCUCCUGCUGAAGAUGAGAGAUGGCUCUGGGGAAAUUCCACUCUGCAACUCAUUUAAGCAGGAUAAACAGAGCUCCCGCUCUGGAAGGUUCGGCCCUGAGCGAAAGGCAUUGGAAUCUGGACUGGGAGCUCAGAUGUCCAUGUGAAGCCCAGAAGAAAGUCCCUGAGCCAGGUGACAUGUGAUGCAGCCGCUCUGACCCCCAAAAGCCGCGGAACCUGAUGAACACCUUUCUCUAGCCAGAGACGCCAUGAUGUCCCCUUGUCCCCAUCGCUGGAAUAAAAAGACCCGAAGUUCCUUAGGCAUGCUGGUUUUCAUCUUAGGACAUGUAUCUGGCUGUGCUCAACUCGAAGAAUUUAGGAACCACAGGGAAGAGAGCCCAUCUGGAGGAACAGAAAGGUGAAUGUUUGGAUUCAGCUGAGAGGAGCUCUGAGGCCGUCAGCACCAGAGGAAGCAAUGUGGAGGCAAAGAGGACAAAGCAGAAAUUCUCCUCC
This is a long non-coding RNA of Pipistrellus kuhlii (Kuhl's pipistrelle), 706 nucleotides long. RefSeq lists it as uncharacterized. The transcript has 3 exons. NCBI's taxonomy places the organism in Eukaryota, Metazoa, Chordata, Mammalia, Chiroptera, Vespertilionidae. The record is from RefSeq and is a predicted model, not a curated record.